ACUCUAUCCUUUUAUUUUAUCC
Molecule: small nuclear RNA, 22 nt
Filed under: Arabidopsis thaliana (thale cress)
Lineage: Eukaryota; Viridiplantae; Streptophyta; Magnoliopsida; Brassicales; Brassicaceae
Description: snRNA_16543
Source: RNAcentral